AUUGAACGCUGGCGGCAGGCCUAACACAUGCAAGUCGAGCGAGCGGCGGACGGGCGAGUAAAGCCUCGGAAUGUGCGUUAGUGCGGGGGAAAACUAUUGCAAACGACAGAUAAUACCGCAUACGCUAAGAUGAGCUCAGGUAGGAUUAGCUAGUGGGUGAGGUAAGAGCUCACCAAGGCGACUAUCCCUAGCUGGUCUGAGAGUAUGACCAGCCACACUGGAACUGAGACACGGUCCAGACUCCUACGGGAGGCAGCAGUGGGGAAUAUUGCACAAUGGGCGCAAGCCUGAUGCAGCCAUGCCGCGUGUAUGAAGAAGGCCUUCGGGUUGUAAAGUACUUUCAGUAGGGAGGCGUUACCUACAGAAGAAGCACCGGCUAACUCCGUGCCAGCAGCCGCGGUAAUUC
This 406-nucleotide ribosomal RNA is filed under the name uncultured bacterium. RNAcentral describes it as "partial 16S ribosomal RNA". It matches the Rfam family "Bacterial small subunit ribosomal RNA", at positions 30 to 526 of the family's 1533-position model. The record is from RNAcentral.